RNAcentral lists this ribosomal RNA (460 nucleotides) under uncultured bacterium. RNAcentral's name for it is "partial 16S ribosomal RNA". It matches the Rfam family "Bacterial small subunit ribosomal RNA", at positions 338 to 795 of the family's 1533-position model. The record is from RNAcentral.
CCUACGGGUGGCAGCAGUGAGGAAUAUUGGUCAAUGGACGAGAGUCUGAACCAGCCAAGUAGCGUGAAGGAUGACUGCCCUAUGGGUUGUAAACUUCUUUUAUAUGGGAAUAAAAUGUUCCACGUGUGGGAUUUUGUAUGUACCAUAUGAAUAAGGAUCGGCUAACUCCGUGCCAGCAGCCGCGGUAAUACGGAGGAUUCGAGCGUUAUCCGGAUUUAUUGGGUUUAAAGGGAGCGUAGGUGGAUUGUUAAGUCAGUUGUGAAAGUUUGCGGCUCAACCGUAAAAUUGCAGUUGAAACUGGCAGUCUUGAGUACAGUAGAGGUGAGCGGAAUUCGUGGUGUAGCGGUGAAAUGCUUAGAUAUCACGAAGAACUCCGAUUGCGAAGGCAGUUCACUGGACUGCAACUGACACUGAGGCUCGAAAGUGUGGGUAUCAAACAGGAGUAGACACCCGUGUAGUC